Molecule: long non-coding RNA, 416 nt
Organism: Ceratitis capitata (Mediterranean fruit fly)
Lineage: Eukaryota; Metazoa; Arthropoda; Insecta; Diptera; Tephritidae
Exons: 2
Source: RefSeq, a predicted model, not a curated record
UUGUCAAAAUGUAAUUUCGUUCAAUUAAAUUUUUAAACUAGAAUGUUUCAUAGGUUAUCGGAAUGGAUCUUUUAGUUGCCUUUCGUUUUACAGUUAUCACGGUGUUACUUUGUUUAAUAGUUUUAGUGCUCAUACUUCGCGUUGCAUGUCCUUAAAGAUGAUGAAAGCGAAUUCGAAAUAGAAGCUGUAUUCCUCUCGGAAGAUGGUUUACAUCAUGAAAUCGGAAAACCUUAAUCUCAUGUGUGCGAUAGACUUAAGGAAUAUAUGUAUAAGAAUUUUCGCAAUAGAACAAUACCGCUAUCGAAUUUUAUAAGAGUUUGAGAUACCAAUGAAUGCUGCAGUUAUUAUGGGAUGGUGUUUUGCUUAUGUUUAAAGAAUGUGAAUUAAAACGCCUUACGUUCCAGUUUUUAAACUAA